AAGGCAGGAAGGCAGCGCCCAGAUCAACGGCGGGCAGAGUCGGAAGGCAGCGUCCAGAUCCCCUCGGCAACCCAGGAGUAUGGUUUCAUCUGGAAAAGAGGAAAGAGCCACGGAACGAGUUGCCGAGCCUCAGGGGCAGACCCAGGUGGACGCCGGACGUCCGACACCGUGGCUUCCUCUCCUGGCUCCUGCGUUUCGGACGCUGUUCCGUUGCUUGGAGAUGGUCUGAUCCUUUUGGAUCUGGCUCCUAAGAGGCGCCGCCGGCCGCGGGACAGGGCAGAGACUGAGCCGGCUCUCGGAGGGACCUGUGGCCAAGGGAAGGGGGACCCGCCUGGAGCCCACGUCCCCACCGGGGCCGGCACCCCGAGCCUGUCUUUGCUGGGACCCUGCUGACUGCGGAGGCCUCUGCCCGGAGCAUCUCUGGGUCGUGAUGGGCCCGCCGGGGGUGGACAGGAUAGUGCCCAGGCCCCAGACAGACGAGGGGGGAUGGCAGGUGGACUUGUGUCCCUGGGGCAGGGUCGGCGUGGAGAGGCGGGGGCCUGUGUCAGGUGCUCGGCAGUCACCUGUGUGACCCUGCGUGGACGGGCUGCCGGCCUCAACCGUCUAUUCAAAUAAAACGAUUAAUUGGC
This is a long non-coding RNA of Mustela lutreola (European mink), 629 nucleotides long. RefSeq lists it as uncharacterized. The transcript has 4 exons. The record is from RefSeq and is a predicted model, not a curated record. NCBI's taxonomy places the organism in Eukaryota, Metazoa, Chordata, Mammalia, Carnivora, Mustelidae.